UGAGCAGCACAAGUGACCGCGCCCAUUCAGACGAAAGGGAAUGGGUGAGGAAAGUCCGAGCUUCGCAGGGCAGGAUGCCGGAUAACGUCCGGUGGAGGCGACUCCCAGGCUAGUGCAACAGAAAUAUACCGCCACGGCUUUGCCCGUGGUAAGGUUGGAAUGGCGAGGUAAGAGCUCACCGCCUCUCUGGUAACAGGGAGGGCAUAUGUAAACCCCAUCCGAAGCAAGACCGAACAGGAAGCAAUACGGCGGCCCGUCGUGUUUCCGGGUAGGUCGCUAGAGCCUGUUGGCAACAGCAGGUCCAGAUAGAUGGUCACUCAACGACAGAACUCGGCUUAUCGUGCUGCUCAUAUG
Molecule: RNase P RNA, 354 nt
Filed under: Clostridium sp. AF36-4
Lineage: Bacteria; Bacillati; Bacillota; Clostridia; Eubacteriales; Clostridiaceae
Description: RNase P RNA component class A
Rfam family: Bacterial RNase P class A
About the family: Ribonuclease P (RNase P) is a ubiquitous endoribonuclease, found in archaea, bacteria and eukarya as well as chloroplasts and mitochondria. Its best characterised activity is the generation of mature 5'-ends of tRNAs by cleaving the 5'-leader elements of precursor-tRNAs. Cellular RNase Ps are ribonucleoproteins.
Source: RNAcentral